RNAcentral lists this ribosomal RNA (465 nucleotides) under uncultured Klebsiella sp. RNAcentral describes it as "bacterial SSU rRNA". It matches the Rfam family "Bacterial small subunit ribosomal RNA", at positions 338 to 795 of the family's 1533-position model. Lineage: Bacteria; Pseudomonadati; Pseudomonadota; Gammaproteobacteria; Enterobacterales; Enterobacteriaceae. The record is from RNAcentral.
CCUACGGGUGGCUGCAGUGGGGAAUAUUGCACAAUGGGCGCAAGCCUGAUGCAGCCAUGCCGCGUGUGUGAAGAAGGCCUUCGGGUUGUAAAGCACUUUCAGCGGGGAGGAAGGCGGUGAGGUUAAUAACCUCAUCGAUUGACGUUACCCGCAGAAGAAGCACCGGCUAACUCCGUGCCAGCAGCCGCGGUCAUACGGAGGGUGCAAGCGUUAAUCGGAAUUACUGGGCGUAAAGCGCACGCAGGCGGUCUGUCAAGUCGGAUGUGAAAUCCCCGGGCUCAACCUAGGAACUGCAUUCGAAACUGGCAGGCUAGAGUCUUGUAGAGGGGGGUAGAAUUCCAGGUGUAGCGGUGAAAUGCGUAGAGAUCUGGAGGAAUACCGGUGGCGAAGGCGGCCCCCUGGACAAAGACUGACGCUCAGGUGCGAAAGCGUGGGGAGCAAACAGGAUUAGAUACCCCAGUAGUC